CGAGGUCUGCCGAGCAUCAACAUCUAAUCAUUCAUCUCAGGGGUAUAUUUUCAAAUGUCAAUUUCAGUGCAGUGCAAUGCAGGUCAAUGAACAACAUGCAGUUGUAAUAUGAAUAAUAAUUGCAACAAAAACAGUUUUUUUCAAUGUUUUAAACAAAAAUAACAUUUUUUAAAACCUAAAACUUUACAUUUAAAUCAAUGCGUGGAAAUGGUAAACUUGAAUUUGUGGCCUUUAACUGAUUCAUCUGAUUUUAAAAUUUCAAAAUUGAGUUUUUUUUUAGUUUAACCUCUUUGUUCUUAAAUGUACAAUUGUAUCUAGCUAACUUUCAUUCCAUGUUAGAUGUACACACUUUCUCCUGAAAGUUCUUUAAACUCUGACAUGAACUAGUUAUUUUACAUUAUUUCUUCUCUUUAAUGCUGGACACGGUGUGUAGACAUGACAAGACUUGAUGUCAGAUCAUCCCAAUGAAUGGCCAAUUACAGGCGUGUAACCAAGCUGCAUUAUCACCACCUCAUUGGGAGGCUGCAUUAGAGAUGCACAGAAGAUCAGAGGAAGGACAUUCCCCCCGGCGCCAUUAUUAACAGAACAAAAUUGUCUUGCAAGCUGCCUGUAGAAUCCACGGAUUUCCACUGAAAAGGUAAAGUAUGACCAUCUCUCCUGCCCAAGUUUUCAGGCAACCCCACAUUUAAACCAUUUGCAUCACAAAACACACAAUGCAGGCUACUUUUCCCAGACCAAUUACUGUAAAUGUGGCCAUUUACAUCUUUUCAUCAUCAUUGUUCUUGUGAAAUCAGCUCUGAGAGCCAUUGCUCGGAUUGAAUACAUUAGCAUGCACACUUAGAUGUGUUGUCUGCGGUACAGAGAUGAAAGAGACACACAUUCUGCAACACUCAUUGAUUUGUCAGUAUUUGACGGGAAAUACUCUCAAAAAAAGUUUCCACUGUUUGUGUUUGUCGUGAGUUCACUUUUUAAUUUAGGACAAGUUGUGGGAUCACGAUCCGCAAAGAACAUCCUGUUCUGGAACAAUAUGGUCAAAAUGUAAUGUUGUUUUCUUGAGUUCUUGAAGGUGCACUUUGAACAGUAAUACCUCACAAGAUUAAACAAUUAUUAUAUACUUGUUUUUGCUCAUGUUACACCAUGAGCUUUUAGUGGACCUAAAAAAAAGCGACACCUUAUUUUGUAACUUUUACGAGAAGCGGCCACAAAGAGCAGGCCGAGAACAGCAACUGGUUCGUCCUGAUUUUUGGACACAAGUAGCUCAUGUGGACUGGUUGACUUUCUGCACGUGCACCUGCAAGUGUUACCCAAUCACGGCAUUUUGUAUAAGAUGCCUUGGUGAUGUGGUGGAAGAAAUUACUUCAAUAAACAGUAAAACAAACAUGUAGAAAUUGGAGCUAGUUUUAGCUUCUGAAUUUAUCGUAAUGCAACAUUGCGCUUGAGUAAAUCUGGGGUUGGUAAAAUGAUUGAUGGGGGAAAUCAGAUCAUUUAGAGCUAACAAAUUUCGUCUUAUAUUUGGUUUUCUAAUUUUUAUUAUUAUGUGAGUGUCACUGGUUUAUUUUCUAUCAGUGUAUCGUUUUUUAAUACCUAGAAACAAAAGCUCAGCUAGAUGAGGUGAAAAAAAGUGCAUAGUUUUCCUCUGAAACACAUGCAGUCAAAAAUAAAUAGCAUGAAAAGGAAAAUCCUUUUUUUAUAUUCAACAUAUCUUGCAAAAAAUAUUUCAUUCAUCUCUUGGUUGAGAUUUUGUAAUGAAAUAAUAAUUUUCGAUCCCUUAUAAAAAUAGGCUUUCAUAACAGCAGUAGUCAGAACUUAAUUGGUAGACUCAAGCUACAUUCAAUUAUUUUGUAUUAACUUGGAGCAGCGGAGCAAGCCGUCAUGGGAUCAUUGACGCAUCGCAUUAAAUAAAGUUUAUUUGGCAGCAAAGUUAAACGUCAAACGUCCAGCUGAGAAACAACAGCACCCAAUUUGCAGUCGUUUUUCUGUUCACCCGACAAUCAAACUCCGAGGCUCACUCUUUAAGGCCUGCUAUUGUUUCCUCCAAAUUCUAUCUACCCAAACUAUGUGCUAAAAGACACUAAAACGUAAAGCUGAGCAGCCUGUGAAACGGGUGCGAUGACAUAGUUUGAAGACCGAAAAGCCCACUUGGGAUGGGUCGAAUAAACAGAGGACUGUCACCCAGCAGACAGCUGUUCUCUGUUGUUGGUCCUUGUGUCUGGCUGUCCACACAAAAGGUGCAAGAUACAAGAUUUUGGGUGCCUCUGAACGCCUCAUUCAUUAUACUUACUAUACUGUGUGUGUGUGUGUGUGUGUGUGGCAGCUGCUGAUCAGUCCAGCCAAGAGAGAAUUAUGUCCCUCCUGUGGAGGACGAGAGAGAGGCCAACAAGGGACAGCGGGACUGAAGUCCAGAGUGUGUGGUGCGAGUAAAGCCCCUUCUCUCCUCUUCCCUUGCGCUCCUCUUCUCCCCGCCACCGGCCUCCAGACACAAGCCUCUUUCUGUUGGGGCAUCGCCAUGGAAACCAAGCCACUAACUUGAGGGGGGCGACAUAAAAACCUGCUCUUUUAGGGGACACAGGAACACCUGCCACCUUCGCUGACUGGGAGGGCUGGGCUGGUGGCCUGGCCACAGGCAGACACACACUUACAUACAAAUUCAUGUGGUCACCAAUGCAGACACACACACACACACAAACAGAGGAUCAGUGCAACGAAGGAGAGCUUUAGCUAACAUCUGCUGCCUUUUAGAAACUCAUUUAUCUUCCAGCAUCAGGUUGUUUGGUGGCUUUCUUAACUCAUGUUCUGUGAAAAAACAAGGAAAGGUUUAUUUUGGGAACAAAGAAUCCAUUAUUAUUAAGGUUGAUGGUUUAGGGCUACAAAACUCAUCUUUUCUUAUUUUAACAUCUUGAUUUUGUAUUAUUUUUUUUACUUCCAGCAUCACAUCCAAAGCUUGCAAAUCAACACAUGUAUUGUAUUUGUUUAUGGAUUGAAUAAAGGAGAUAUGUCAUU
Molecule: long non-coding RNA, 3000 nt
Organism: Pungitius pungitius (ninespine stickleback)
Lineage: Eukaryota; Metazoa; Chordata; Actinopteri; Perciformes; Gasterosteidae
Exons: 2
Source: RefSeq, a predicted model, not a curated record